Molecule: ribosomal RNA, 464 nt
Filed under: Streptococcus sp. oral taxon 070
Lineage: Bacteria; Bacillati; Bacillota; Bacilli; Lactobacillales; Streptococcaceae
Description: bacterial SSU rRNA
Rfam family: Bacterial small subunit ribosomal RNA
Source: RNAcentral
GACGAACGCUGGCGGCGUGCCUAAUACAUGCAAGUAGAACGCUGAAGCUUGGUGCUUGCACCGAGCGGAUGAGUUGCGAACGGGUGAGUAACGCGUAGGUAACCUGCCUGGUAGCGGGGGAUAACUAUUGGAAACGAUAGCUGAUACCGCAUAAAAUGGAUUAUCGCAUGAUAAUUCAUUGAAAGGUGCAAAUGCAUCACUACCAGAUGGACCUGCGUUGUAUUAGCUAGUUGGUGGGGUAACGGCUCACCAAGGCGACGAUACAUAGCCGACCUGAGAGGGUGAUCGGCCACACUGGGACUGAGACACGGCCCAGACUCCUACGGGAGGCAGCAGUAGGGAAUCUUCGGCAAUGGACGGAAGUCUGACCGAGCAACGCCGCGUGAGUGAAGAAGGUUUUCGGAUCGUAAAGCUCUGUUGUAAGAGAAGAACGAGUGUGAGAGUGGAAAGUUCACACUGUGACU